RNAcentral lists this ribosomal RNA (469 nucleotides) under uncultured bacterium. RNAcentral's name for it is "bacterial SSU rRNA". It matches the Rfam family "Bacterial small subunit ribosomal RNA", at positions 335 to 795 of the family's 1533-position model. The record is from RNAcentral.
ACUCCUACGGGAGGCAGUAGUGGGGAAUUUUGGACAAUGGGCGCAAGCCUGAUCCAGCCAUGCCGCGUGAGUGAAGAGGGCCUUCGGGUUGUAAAGCUCUUUCAGGUGGAAAGAAAUAGCGCUGUUUAAUAGAUGGCGUUGAUGACGGUACCACCAGAAGAAGCACCGGCUAACUACGUGCCAGCAGCCGCGGUAAUACGUAGGGUGCGAGCGUUAAUCGGAAUUACUGGGCGUAAAGCGUGCGCAGGCGGUUGUGUAAGACAGGUGUGAAAUCCCCGGGCUUAACCUGGGAACUGCGCUUGUGACUGCACAGCUAGAGUACGGCAGAGGGGGGUGGAAUUCCACGUGUAGCAGUGAAAUGCGUAGAGAUGUGGAGGAACACCGAUGGCGAAGGCAGCCCCCUGGGCCUGUACUGACGCUCAUGCACGAAAGCNGUGGGGAGCAAACAGGAUUAGAUACCCUGGUAGUC